UAGUCUUCUCUCUUUCUUAAGCAGUGAUAAACCUUUUAAUGAGAACAAAAAGGAAAUAAAUUGCUAACUCUGAAGGAACCAGUAAGAAAUACACUGAAGUAUGGUCUGUUGUUUUAGAAUAAUUUGUUAAAUGGACCAGAGUAAUAUAGUGGAACAUGCAUCACCUUAUACCAUAUAGUAACUGAUUCUUCUAAGUUUACUUGAACAGAUUUCAGUCAGGAAAAAACAUUGCUCAAUUGUGUUCUUCAAUUUAUUCAACAAACAAUUGAAAAUAAUAUUUUAAAGGACAUAAUCUCUUCAUAUCACAUCUUAACAAUUCUUGAAUGAGAUCCAGUUUGUCCAUGCCUUGAACAUUUAAACUUACAAUAGAAUUCACUGAAGAAUAUCCAAAUAAACCACCUACAGUUAGAUUUGUCUCUAAGAUGUUCCAUCCAAAUGUCUAUGCAGAUGGUAGUAUAUGUCUGGACAUACUUCAGAACCGUUGGAGUCCAACCUAUGAUGUGUCUUCCAUUCUAACAUCCAUACAGUCUCUGUUGGAUGAACCCAAUCCCAAUAGUCCAGCAAACAGCCAGGCUGCUCAGCUGUACCAGGAGAACAAACGGGAAUAUGAAAAGCGUGUUUCUGCAAUAGUAGAACAAAGCUGGCGUGAUUGUUGACCCCGGGUACAGUUUAAAGAAGCUGGCCAUAAGAAAAAUAUAUAUUGAUGUGUUUGUCACCUCCCUACUCCUGUCAUUACAUUUACUUUAUUAAAAGCAAAAUAACUGUUGUGCUGUUUCCAUCUUCCUUGCCAAGUUUUCCUACCCCUUCUACCCUCUCCU
This 818-nucleotide long non-coding RNA is filed under the name Homo sapiens (human). RNAcentral describes it as "HSALNT0285764". Lineage: Eukaryota; Metazoa; Chordata; Mammalia; Primates; Hominidae. The record is from RNAcentral.